CAGCGCCGCCGUGUUCACGCCGUAGCCCUGGCUGUACAAGUUCCCGUACCCACAAGCCCCACCUGUAACGGUUUUUCCACGAGUGAAAAGGCAGAUCUCGACCGAAAAUGUGAUUUAACAGGUUAAUACUUAAACGUCAUCCGCUUGGACACUAAUAUUGCAGAAUCUCCGAAACCGGACCGGACUUCAGUUGAACCGGGUCGGACCUGUUGUCGGUCCAAUUUCUUUACCGGUUCACUUUACCGAUCCGGUUCGAUAUUCUGACGAGAGAGUUUCGAGGACUCUCAUGACCAGCAUUACUCGGAGGAGAUGGGAGGAGUGUCUAGGUCGGGUUAC
Long non-coding RNA from Rhodamnia argentea, 336 nucleotides. RefSeq lists it as uncharacterized. The transcript has 2 exons. The record is from RefSeq and is a predicted model, not a curated record. Lineage: Eukaryota; Viridiplantae; Streptophyta; Magnoliopsida; Myrtales; Myrtaceae.